This 77-nucleotide transfer RNA is filed under the name Streptomyces showdoensis. RNAcentral describes it as "tRNA-Trp". It matches the Rfam family "tRNA". Rfam says of the family: Transfer RNA (tRNA) molecules are approximately 80 nucleotides in length. Their secondary structure includes four short double-helical elements and three loops (D, anti-codon, and T loops). The record is from RNAcentral. Lineage: Bacteria; Bacillati; Actinomycetota; Actinomycetes; Kitasatosporales; Streptomycetaceae.
AGGGGUGUAGCUCAGAUGGCCAGAGCGCCGGUCUCCAAAACCGGAUGCCGCAGGUUCGACUCCUGUCACCCCUGCCG